This 393-nucleotide ribosomal RNA is filed under the name uncultured bacterium. RNAcentral describes it as "partial 16S ribosomal RNA". It matches the Rfam family "Bacterial small subunit ribosomal RNA", at positions 523 to 918 of the family's 1533-position model. The record is from RNAcentral.
AUACGGUGGUGUCAAGCGUUAUCCGGACUUAUUGGGUUUAAAGGGUGCGUAGGCGGAUAAAUCAGUCAGCGGUGAAAUUUACGGGCUUCACUUGUAGCUUGCCUUGGAAACUAUUUAUCUAGAGUUAUUUCGGCGUAUGCGGAAUGUAUCAAGUAGCGGUGAAAUGCAUAGAUAUGCUACAGAACACCAAUCGCGAAGGCCGCAUACGAGGCAUCAUCUGACGCUGAUGCACGAAAGCGUGGGGAUCAAACAGGAUUAGAUUCCCUGUUAGUCCACGAUGUAAACUAUGAUAACUAUCUGUUAGCGAUACACAGUUAGAGGGUAAGAGAAAUCAUUAAGUUAUCCACCUGGGGAGUACGGUCGCAAGAAUGAAACUCAAAUGAAUUGACGGGG